AUACGGAGGGGGCUAGCGUUGUUCGGAAUUACUGGGCGUAAAGCGCGCGUAGGCGGCUUAUCAAGUUAGGCGUGAAAGGCCUGGGCUCAACCCGGGAACUGCGCUUAAUACUGGUAGACUUGAGUCCGGGAGAGGGUGGCGGAAUUCCCAGUGUAGAGGUGAAAUUCGUAGAUAUUGGGAAGCACACCAGUUGCGAAGGCGGCCACCUGGACCGGUACUGACGCUGAGGUGCGAAAGCGUGGGGAGCAAACAGGAUUAGAAACCCCAGUAGUCC
RNAcentral lists this ribosomal RNA (274 nucleotides) under uncultured bacterium. RNAcentral's name for it is "partial 16S ribosomal RNA". It matches the Rfam family "Bacterial small subunit ribosomal RNA", at positions 523 to 796 of the family's 1533-position model. The record is from RNAcentral.